Chelonia mydas (Green sea turtle) is the source of this 5543-nucleotide long non-coding RNA. RefSeq lists it as uncharacterized. The transcript is spliced from 6 exons. Lineage: Eukaryota; Metazoa; Chordata; Testudines; Cheloniidae. The record is from RefSeq and is a predicted model, not a curated record.
CCCCCCGCCCCUGGGAGAUCAGGGAGAUUUUGCAAAAUUUGGAGGCGAGCAAAGGGGUGGGCUCGGAGGAGGGGGUGGCUGCCUUUGAAAGCCGGCUCCUUGGAAAGGGGGAGCAGGAUAUUUUUGAGUGGGUUGGGGUUUUAUUAUUAUCAAUUAUUAUUAUUAUUAUCCCCUCCCCCCCAGUUCUGAAGUUUGCGCCUGGGGCGGGAAGGGGGCUAUUGACGGGGCCGAGGAUCGGCCCGGGGAAGCGGGGGGCUGUUUAAAGGGGGGCUGAGAAAGAGCGGGAUCCGAGCCCGGGUGGCUGGCAAGCUGCGCUUUGACUGUAAAAAGCCCACCGGGCCAGCCCGCUUUCUGUCCCCUCUGGAAGGGGGAGAGCGGGAGCUCUUUGCCCCGAGCUGUCCGGCAGCUCCCCGCCUGGGUCCCUCCGCUCGCUGCGCCUUCGCUCGCUCAGGCUGCGCAGGGAACCGACAAACCCCGGGCAGCAGGCCGCGGUUCCCCGGGGAGGGGGAUUUAAACUGUGCAGUGGCCCGCAGGCUACAUUGCUCCUCGGGCCCGCUAGGAAGCGCUUCAGGGCUGUGAAGGGAGGGAGCUGCGCAGGGCCGAUCCAGGCGAGUGGGUGACUUACACUUUUCUCCAGGCUCUGCACAUUUGCACAAGUCCCGCUACUGCCGCCGGAUCAUUUCCCCCUCCCUGCCCAGCAUUGCAUACUCAGGGUCUGCUUUGCUGCUGCUUACAGCCGGGCUCUGGGUGUGGAUGGCAGCAUCACAGAAGAUCAGGGCUGGGAGGGACCUCAGGAGGUCAUCUAGUCCAAGCCCCUGCUCAAAGCAGGACCGAUCCCCAAAUUUUGCCCCAGAUCCCUAAAUGGCCCCCUCAAGGAUUGAACUCACAACCCUGGGUUUAGCAGGCCAAUGCUCAAACCACUGAGCUAUCCCUCUCCCUCGAAGCAGGGCCAACACCCACUGUCUUUGCUGGGUCAUCACCAUGCCGCUGGGAGGUAAUGCAAGCCUAUUAGCCCCACAUCACAGAUGAGGAACAGUUCCACAAAAGUAUUUAGGCUCCUAAAUCCCUUUGAAAUCCAUGGGAGCCCAAGUACCUUUGAAAAUCUGGGCUUAAGUGACUUCCCCCAGGUUACACAGGAAGCUUCAGGCAGAGCAGAAAGUUGAACCUGGCUCUCUGUAGUCUCCAGCUAACACCAGGACUAACCUUCCUGUCCUGUGCAUUUGUGGUCUGGGUCCAACUUGACAGUCUAUGCUGGGGUGACUGUGUCUGUCAGCGUGUGCGGUUCUGAUUCGUUCCACUGAGGGGAUUUACCCCUCUGGUGUAAAUGAGGAAACAAUGAGGCUCUGAGUGUGUUUGUACAUGUAUGCGCACCACCAAGGAAGGUGCUGCAAGACGAAAAGCAAUUCUUUCCAUUUUAUUGUUCUGAACAGACCUCUGGGAUUUGUACUAAGUGCAGAAUUUCUUUGGCAUUUAAGCAUAAAAACCCUCCCAACCAAACAACAGGAAUAAAGGGGAAGAUCCUCAGCUGGUGUAAAUUACUAAGGAUCUGGCCCAAAUAUGUCUCACAUCAAUAGGCCUCCUGACCUGCUUUCCUAUUCUUGGGCCGACAUUCACACAAGCUUUGGAAAAUAAAACAAUCGCUCGUCCUCCAGUUUCUUCCUUGCCCUUGGAUGGUGGUUUCUUUUUUCACAGAAACGAAGGUUCCAUCUUAGAAAAAGUAUUUUCUGCUGCUCCUCUGCCGAUGUCACUGUGAUGGCGUGUGGAUUGUACCCACAUCUCCCCUGCAUACUGCUUAAUGCAGCCCCAGGCUUUAUUGAUCUGUGGGGGAAAUCACUAGUAGCCACUGGCCUGACAUAAACAAGCUUGUCAAUUGCAUUGUAAACCAGAAGUGUUGCAAGACUUGUUCCCAGAAACGGAGUCAAAUAACAAAACCUCAAUGAGCUAAGUGGGAGAGUUGGACUAUUUUGCUUUGUUUUCACUUGGCUAUUGGUAGUUGUGGCUUAUGUGCAAAGCCAGGGCCAGAAUACACAGGGUGGGCCUUGGCUUUGCCAAAAUUUGCCACCACGAACAAACAGGAAAGUAGCUGAGCCUUGUAACUGUAUUCUUAAGUCUUGCAUAUAAAUUCAGGGAGUCCUGAGGAGUUGGUGUUUUCGUAUAGAAAAUGAGAGUGUUCAUAAUGGGAGAGAGCGGGGAAGAACCCUUGUAUUUAGGGCCCGAUCUUGUUCACAAAUGUCCCGUUGACUUCAAUGGCCGCUGGACCGAGCCCCGGUUGAGGAUAUUGUGUAGACCUGUUUCGUUACCGCAUGUUGCACAUAAAACCUACAACAGAGGGAAAUUUGCCCAUGCCCACUUCCAGAUCAAAUUGACGCCAUUCGCAAAUCUAAAAAGGGUAUUUUCCUAAUUGCUGUGCUUUCGUCUGCCUCUCUCGUGAACGCCAGCCAGAAACAUUCAGCGGGAGGACCUGAGAGGAAAUUUCAAGCAUCAUGAACAUUUUUCGUCAUUUUUCAUUGGAAAUAUGUUUUGCCAAAAAAAAAAAAAGAAAAGAGGAUCAACCAGCUGUUCUCUGCCGUGAUUGCUUCAUCUCCAGCCAGGUGCCCCUGACCUGGGGUAGGGCUGUGCUCACCGGAUCACAAACACCCUUAAAGGGGAGCUUGACUCAUUCAGUAGCCACCUCUGAGCAUAAAGCAGGACAAAAAGCUGCAGGGCCAGGAAUGGAGGGAAGCAAACACCUAAGCUGCGGAAGCCCUGUGCCAGACCGUCCUGCUGAGACUUCCGCUCUGGCCACCUCAAACCUUCAUCCAGCCCUAAAUUGACAGCUGGGGAGAGAAAAAGCAGAGAAUCGGUGCCAGGAGAUCAACAGGCAAAGCGGGACCUGGGAGAAGCUAUGGUGGCCUUCCGGACUCCAGGAAUGUUCCAUGCAAACCGAGAUCCUCAUCAGAGAGCGGCUCCUCUAGAACGAAGCACCCUGAAAGACACGGAAGCAAAAUCCCUGGGUGAAAUCCACACCCCGCUUAAACAGCUGUUGGCAAACAACAGUCAGGCUAGCCAUCCCAUCAGCCGCAAACCUGCAGCUCGAGUGCUAGCAACAGACAGCCCUGGUGACCAAGGCAGCAGCUGCAGCCAGCAGCUUCCCAUCCAAGGGGAGUGGAGGGCACUGGGGCAUUGCCUACAGACACUGAGGAACCUUGCCACAGUUGAGGAGGUUUCGAAAAGCAGAAGUGGAAAAAGGAGACCGUGAAAGACUUCCGACUCCUUUGCCAUUAUUCAUGGCAUUGCAGCCGCUGGAGAAAUGGGGCUGGGAGUAGGAGAAAGGAAGAAAGGGGUAAGAAAACCCAACACCCCAACAUUCCAAAGCUCAACACUGAAAAUUAUUGGUUUUGACAAUGAAACCAAAAGCUGCCUCCCCCAUUUAAGUUGCUGGUUUAGAAAGGAUGCCAUUUCCCCCUCCAGUUUGAGUGAAAAACUAUCACCCCACUCUGGAGACGGACAUGACACCUGGCACAGGGAGGGUGCUAGCUUCCAUUCAGCUUGGGGGGGAGUAGCAGGUGAAAGGGUGGGUUUCCUGAGAGAGAGCAUGGCCUAGUUUUUAAGGCAGUGAGACUCGAGAGAUGUGGGUUCAAGCCCUGGCUCUGCCACAGACUUCCUGUCUGACCUUGGGCAAGUCAUUUAGGCCCAGAUCCUCACUGGGAUGUAAACACAGGCACAAUACUUUGUUUAAAUUGUAAUCUCUUUCGACAGGGACUAUGUAUCUGAACAGCGAGGAACCAAACAGGCCUGCAAUCUUGCUUAGGGCGUCUAGGUGCUACUCAACAAUUGGUGCUACUCUAGUAUCAAUAAGAACCCAUUGGCUGUUCAGUGUCUGUCUCGUCUCAAUCCAGUGCCUAGUACAUAUAUUUCAAGUGUAUUAAUAUAGUGGCUUAGGCUAUGGGCCUCCCGGGUGUUUAGCUGCCUGAUUUCAGUGGGAGUUAGGCACCUAGAUCUCUCUGGACCUGGACCUUAGCCUUAGGCCAUAGUGUUCAACACAAUAAAGGGUAUGUCUGUGCUGCAAAAAAAAAAAGAUACACCCCACAGCAGUGAGUCUCAGAGCCUGGGUCUAUGGACUCAGGCUUGCCAGGCUUCUGCUACAGCACUACAGAUAGACAUGUAACCCCUCUGCCAGGUGGAGCCAGCAGCAACCAGGGCCAGGUUCAAUAUCUAGGGGUUCCUUCCCAUUGACACAACACAGCACUGGCUCAAGCCCCCACCCAGUGACCUGGGAAAAUUUACACACCACCCCUGGGCGCCUCCGAGAGGCAAUACUGCCCCACUCGCAAGCACAGAGUCUGAGUGUAGAAAAGAAACUUUUAAUAAAAGGAGGUAAGUAACUCGGUGUUAAUUUGGGAAAACACCACAAACAGGGUUCAUAAACACAAACCAUGAGCAAAAGACCCACCCCCAAGUAGGUUGGGCGGCACCCUUUUCCCUUUCGGUUCUUAAGUCCAGCAACCCAAAAGUCCCUUUCACAUGCCCGACUCUUGUCUGCACCCCACUCACAGUUGCUGCCCUUGGUCAGUGCAGGCCCAGAGUCUAGAGGUGAUCUGCAGAGUUCACCUCCCACCCUGGGGGGGGAGGGGUUACAGAGGCACCUUACUUGCUCCGCUGGCCACUUACAGGCCACCUGCUCACUACUCCCACCGUGCCCCUCCACCAGCCACCCAGCUGGCUGCUUAUCACACCUCUCUGUGCUGCCCUUCUGGCCACUCAUUUGCCAGCUGACUGUCAGUCACCAUCUGCCAGGACCUCUGCACAUCCAUCUCUCAGUGAUUUGAGCUCUUAGCAGGCAGGGCAGAAACACAGUCAACAAAUCGCAUAAAAAAGCAAAAAAGAGCCUACAGACACUUUGACAAUAGACGUCACUUAGAGAACUGCCGGAUCUAGAACCUGGUGACUGUGUUUAUAUCAAAUUGGAUGAAGAAAAAGGGUGGACAACUCCAGCUCUUUCUCCAGAAACAGAAUUCAAAGAUCUAGAGUGACAGUGGAGGGUUCAACAGAAGCCAUCAACAUCUGAAAUUUGUUCCUCAGAAAGAACUAACAGAGCAAAUUCUACCAGUGGUGGCUGCAGAACAAGGUGGCGGUGACUCAGAGAUUCCAAACCAACCAUAGCCGGUCAUUGCAACUUAUGGACAGCCAGCUGACCAUGUCGUUGUGCGUUCAGGUGGUGUAAUUAGAAAAGCAGUAUGAUUCAGAGACACUUAGACUGAUAUGUACUGAACUUCAAAGAUCGCGUGAUAGUGUAUAUUUGUAAAUGAAAUGGUAGGAAUGUAGAACUUGGGGGAGGGAUAGCUAAGUGGUUUGAGCAUUGGCCUGCUUAAACCCAGGGUUGUGAGUUCAAUCCUUGAGGAGGCCAUUUAGGGAUCGGGGGCAAAAACUGGGGAUUGGUCCUGCUUUGAGCAGGAGGUUGGACUAGAUGACCUCCUGAGGUCCCUUCCAACCCUGAUAUUCUAUGAAUAAACUUAAAAGGGAGGAUGUAAUGGAAUAUUAAACUCUAUUAUGCCGUUCAGCCA